GAUGAACGCUGGCGGCGUGCCUAAUACAUGCAAGUCGAGCGAACAGACGAGGAGCUUGCUCCUCUGACGUUAGCGGCGGACGGGUGAGUAACACGUGGAUAACCUACCUAUAAGACUGGGAUACCUUCGGGAAACCGGAGCUAAUACCGGAUAAUAUAUUGAACCGCAUGGUUCACUAGUGAAAGACGGUUUUGCUGUCACUUAUAGAUGGAUCCGCGCCGCAUUAGCUAGUUGGUAAGGUAGCGGCUUACCAAGGCAACGAUGCGUAGCCGACCUGAGAGGGUGGUCGGCCACCCGGGAACGGAGACACGGUCCAGACCCCGACGGGAGGCAGCAGCAGGGAAUCUUCCGCAAUGGGCGAAAGCCUAACGGAGCAACGCCGCGUGAGUGAUGAAGGUCUUCGGAUCGUAAAACGCUGUUAUUAGGGAAGAACAAAUGUGUAAUUAACUAUGCACGUCUUGACGGUACCUAAUCAGAAAGCCACGGCUAACUACGUG
RNAcentral lists this ribosomal RNA (497 nucleotides) under uncultured bacterium. Its description in RNAcentral is "partial 16S ribosomal RNA". It matches the Rfam family "Bacterial small subunit ribosomal RNA", at positions 28 to 507 of the family's 1533-position model. The record is from RNAcentral.